UCCGUAAUGCACCGACGCCGUAUGGUGGAUGACUUGGCUUGGGUGGCGACGAAGGACGCGGCAAGCUGCGAAAAGCCCCGGGGAGGCGCACGCAUCCCUUGAUCCGGGGAUUUCCGAAUGGGGUAAAACCCACCGAGAUUGCCGCAAGGCGUCUCGGUGAUCCGAAAGGAUCGCGAACGCUGGGGAAGGAAACAUCUGAGUACCAGCAGGAAGAGAAAUCAAUUGAGAUCCCGUUACUAGCGGCGAGCGAAAACGGGACAGCCCAAACCGAAUCCCCUGGUGAAAGCUAGGGGAGAUGUAGGGUUCGCCUUCAGCGUGUGCGACCCUGGGACCGAUAGCUGAACUCGGCUGGAAAGCCGGAGAACAGAGUGUGAUACUCACGUAGGUCAAUCGGGACCGAGGUCGUGCUGAGGGCAGAGUACCUGGCCUUGGCAGUGGCUAGGGAACAUGGGGGAAAGCAGCCUCCAAGGCUAAACACUACCCAAGACCGAUAGCAAACUACGUACCGCGAGGGAAAGUUGCAAAGGGCCCCGAAAGGGGUGUGAAAAGAGCCUGAAACCAUACGGUUACAGACGUGCGCGGCAUGGAAGGACCACGAUCCUUGAGCGAGUCCCGCAAGGGGCUCAAUUGAGGGUAAGUGCUCCGGUGUCGCGCAUUCCGUCUAGAAACACGGGCCAGGGAGUUAACUGUCAUGGCGAGCCUAAGGGUUCAAAGCCCGGAGGCGAAGCGAAAGCGAUACUCCGCAAGGCCGCAAGGCCCCAGGGAGGAGGUGUGAAAGUGCCUUUGAGUCAUGGCGGUUUAGACUAGAAACCGAGUGAUCGUGCCCUCGACAAGGUGAAGCCGGGCGAAAGCCUGGUGGAGGCCUGACAGGGUCUUAACGUGCAACUUAGUCCCCUGAUCGGGGGCAAGGGGCCAAAAGCCUAUCUAACUCGGUGAUUGCUAGUUCCCACCGAAGCGGAUCCCAGUCCUGUCUCCGUGGAUGUAGCUCACGCUGUAGAGCACCGAUGAAGAAACAAGGAUUCGAAAGGGUCCACUUCUUUUUCGAACUCCGAAUGUGUGGGCGCAAGAGAAGCGGGGAAGCGGGUUUAUGUGGGGUAAGCCUCAUAACCGAGAGGGGAUUAACCCAGACUGGAGUUAAGGUCCCCAAGUUUAGGCUAAGUGUCAAGCUAAAGGGUGUCCGCGAGCUCAGACAGCAGGGAGGUAGGCUUAGAAGCAGCCACCCUUCAAAGAUAGCGUAACAGCUCACCUGCCGAGCUUGCAGGCCCCGAAAAUGGACGGGACUAAAGCCUAGCACCGAUACUCCGGACAGCUACUCUGAGAGUAGCUUGUGGUAGGUGGGCGUAGAGAUUGGGCGGAAGCCGGGCCGUGAGGUCCGGUGGACCGAUUUCUAGUGCAGAUCCUGGUAGUAGUAGCAGCAUAGUCGGGUGAGAAUCCUGACCGCCGCAAGGGCACGGGUUCCCUGGCAAUGCGUCGUCAGCCAGGGGUUAGCCGAUCCUAAGUGUAUCCUCAACAGGGAAACACGAACCAGGGAAACUGGUUAAAAUUCCAGUGCCUUCGUUUGGCCGAUGGGCCGCAAGGCCCGGCAUCGACUCCGACACUUCGAGGUAGGACGUGCAGAGUUUAUCGCUCUGUCUAAUCUUCCGAGUCGUGGGGAGUGUCGUAAUGACGAGAACCACGUCGAGGGGAGAAUGGCAGCCCGUUGGGGUUGUUCGUUCAAUCCCCGGAGACCGUGAAAACGGAGUUGGAAAGACCAAGCGAAGAUCGUACCCAGAACCGACACAGGUGCCCCUAGGUAAGAAGCCUAAGGCGUGUCGGGGAACUGUAGGUAAGGGAACUCGGCAAAAUAGUGGCGUACGUUAGCUAGAAGCCAUGCCUGCAUUCUUCAUGAGAAAUGGGGUUUGCAGGUUGCAAUAACAAGGGGGUCCCGACUGUUUACUAAAAACACAGUAAGCCGCAAGUCCGAAAGGAUGUGUACGGCUUAUGAAUCCUGGCCAGUGCAGGUACCUAAAACCUGGGUUCAACUGGGCUAAGGGCCUGUAAACGCCGGGAGUAACUCUGACUCUCUUAAGGUAACGUUGUUGCCUUAACAAAAUCUGGCUAUAUGCUGGAAAGUCUGGGAAUGCCACACUAGUCAUGGGUGCUUAAAGGCACCAGUUGACUAACAACGUGUUGGCUGCAGAUGAUCAGCAGGAAAGGCUAGACGCCAACUGGGUAGUUGGAUUCGUGGAUGGCGAAGGUUGCUUCCACGUCUCCAUCAACAGACAACCAAAGAUGACUACCGGCUGGCAAGUGUUGCCAGAAUUCAGGGUAGUCCAACACAAGAAAAGCGAAUCAGUCCUAUUCAGAAUGCAACAGUUCUUCGGAGCAGGGACGGUCGUGGGAAACCACGGCUGGAGACGGGAACUGCGCAUCCGGAAACUGGACGACCUCAGGAGGGUCGUCGCAUUCUUCGAGAAAUAUCCACUCCAAACCAAGAAACAGGAGGACUUCGCGCUGUUCCGACAGACCAUCGCCUCGAUGGAAAAGAAGGAACAUCUGACGAAGGAAGGCCUCACGAAGAUAGCACAAAUCAGCUGGAAGAUGAACAAGAAAGUCAAACCCAGAUACUUGGCCUAGCAUCCUCAGAGACUAUACGCCGGAAGCCGAACUAGCAUCGGCUAAGAUAUAGUCCGACCCAUGCAGCGAUGCAUGGAGACCUGGAGAAAUCCAGGCCCGCCUUCGCACGGCGAAGGUCUACGGAAAGCAACAGAUGUGAGCCAAAUGCCUUGUCGGGUAAGUUCCGACGUGCAUGAAUGGACCAACGAGGGCCCCGCUGUCCCUAUCUACGACCCGGCGAACCUACGUAAGGUGGACGAACAGUCCAUCAACUUCCAUCGGGGAGAGAAGUCCCUGUGGAGCUUUACUGCAGCUUGUUGCUGCGAUGCGGUCUUCUUUGCAGAGUGUAGCUGGGAGACUUCGAAGCGCUGCUUUCGGGUGGCGUGGAGUCAACAAUGUAACACCAGCCUUAGUGGACUGCGUCGCUAACUCCUACGGGAGGACAACGGCAGGUGGGCAGUUCGGCUGGGGCGGCACCCCCUUGAAAAGAUAUCGAGGGGGCCCUAAGGUCGGCUCAUCUGGGUCAGAACUCCAGAGUUGACGGCAAGGCGAAAAGCCGGCCUGACAGGAAGUUUAAACGCAGAACUUUCUGCAACGAAAGUUUGGCCUAGCGAUCCUCCAAGUCCUCACUGUUGGGGGCUGGAGGUGACAGAAAAGUUACCCCAGGGGUAACAGGCUCGUCGCGGGCGAGAGCUCCAAUCGACCCCGCGGUUUGGUACCUCGGCCCAUCAGGGCCUUGGGGCAGAAUCGUGGUAACGCGAUUGAAGUAUCCGCAGAAAAAACACGAGUAUCGGCUUAUAUCGGCGAAACCCGACCUCCUUUAUCCAGGAGUCCCCCCAAGGGGAUCAUUGGGAAGAGCGGGAGAGGGCAACGCCGAGGGAAGUCCAAUGGGAAUUCAGCACCCGACCAGAUGGAAGAAGUCAUUCGAUGACGCCGUGAAUGGCGUCCCAACAGCAGCACAUAUCGAGCUUGCAGGCAGGGCAGUCGACAGCGGAGGGGGCCUCACGGCACUCUUCCUGGGCGCAGCCGCAGUCUGCACAGCGCAUAACAAAUCUCGCUGCCAUGACAGGGACGCCACAGCUUCGUCUAAUACGACUUUCAUCUGAUUGGAAACGCAGGUUCGGUCAGGCAUCACCGCGGAUGGCAUGCGCAGAUUCAGGGAGGGCGCGCCUCAGAGGUGCGCGAGGAUAGGAUACACGGCGAGCAGCAUUAUCGCCAGCAUGGCGACGAUGAGGACCGCCGCGGCCAGGGCAAAGAACUUGCUCGUCCUGUCCAUGCGCGUCUCGCCAGCGCGGCACCCAAUAAACCCUGGGUAUGCGCAGGUCAAACAUCCCGGAUGCCACCGUUAAAGAGGUCCGGCCGUUCCGUUGUGACCCCGUAACGACUGAGCGCGCAGAAGUGUGCGUAAUGAGAUGGCCACGCGGCUAGCUCGAGAUCCCGCAAGGGACACAUCGCGUUCCGACGCGAUGCGACAUGGGCGCAAGCCCGCUCGGGUGUGCCACACAAGAAACGCGGCCAUCAUACGCCGACCCCACGAGUGCUCGUGGGUGAAGACAUAGUCUAACUCCGGGCGUAAGCCUGGGUAUAGUUGCGAUGUCGGCUCUUCCCAUCCUGGUCCUGCAGCAGGGGCCAAGGGUGGGGCUGCUCGCCCAUCAAAGGGGAACGUGAGCUGGGUUUAGACCGUCGUGAGACAGGUCGGCCUCUACCUGAUGGAAGCGGUGGUUCACUGAGGGGAAGCCCUGCCCAGUACGAGAGGAACAGCGGGGCGUUGCCUCUGGCGUACCGGUCGUCCGAGAGGGCGUCGCCGGGCAGCUAAGCAAUUGUGGAUAACCGCUGAAAGCAUCUAAGCGGGAAGCCACUCCCGAGAAGAGUGAGCCUUGGACCCAAGCUACCUCCGCAAGGGGGUGGGGCGGGUCCAGAAGGGCGGCCAUAGAAGAUGGCGUUGAAAUGGUGGGGGUGUACGCUGGAAGCUUCGGCGACCAGUUCAGCCCGUCCACUAAUUACAGCCCAACGCUUGGAUGA
RNAcentral lists this ribosomal RNA (4617 nucleotides) under Nitrososphaerota archaeon. RNAcentral describes it as "23S ribosomal RNA". It matches the Rfam family "Archaeal large subunit ribosomal RNA". Lineage: Archaea; Thermoproteati; Nitrososphaerota. The record is from RNAcentral.